Molecule: ribosomal RNA, 498 nt
Filed under: uncultured bacterium
Lineage: Bacteria
Description: partial 16S ribosomal RNA
Rfam family: Bacterial small subunit ribosomal RNA
Source: RNAcentral
AUUGAACGCUGGCGGCAUGCCUUACACAUGCAAGUCGAACGGUAACGCGGGGCAACCUGGCGACGAGUGGCGAACGGGUGAGUAAUGCAUUGGAACGUACCCAGUUGCGGGGGAUAGCUCGGCGAAAGCCGGAUUAAUACCGCAUACGACCUACGGGUGAAAGCGGGGGAUCGCAAGACCUCGCGCAGUUGGAGCGGCCGAUGUCAGAUUAGGUUGUUGGUGGGGUAAAGGCUCACCAAGCCGACGAUCUGUAGCUGGUCUGAGAGGACGACCAGCCACACUGGGACUGAGACACGGCCCAGACUCCUACGGGAGGCAGCAGUGGGGAAUUUUGGACAAUGGGGGCAACCCUGAUCCAGCCAUGCCGCGUGCGGGAAGAAGGCCUUCGGGUUGUAAACCGCUUUUGUCGGGGAAGAAAUCUUCCGGGCUAAUACCCCGGGAGGGUGACGGUACCCGAAGAAUAAGCACCGGCUAACUACGUGCCAGCCGCCGCCGUAA